This 357-nucleotide ribosomal RNA is filed under the name uncultured bacterium. RNAcentral describes it as "partial 16S ribosomal RNA". It matches the Rfam family "Bacterial small subunit ribosomal RNA", at positions 338 to 693 of the family's 1533-position model. The record is from RNAcentral.
CCUUCGGGAGGCAGCAGUGAGGCAUAUUGGUCAAUGGCCGGAGGGCUGAACCAGCCAAGCCGCGUGAAGGACGAAGGUGCCAAGCAUUGUAAACUUCUUUUGUCAAGGGCCAAAAUAAGGCUCGAGAGCCUGACCGAGGGUACUUGAAGAAAACGCAUCGGCUAACUCCGUGCCAGCAGCCGCGGUAAUACGGAGGAUGCGAGCGUUAUCCGGAUUUAUGGGGUUUAAAGGGUGCGUAGGCUGGCUGUUAAGUCCGAGGUAAAAGCCCGGGGCUCAACCCCGGCGAGGCGUUGAAACUGGCUGUCUUGAGAUGUCGAGAGGUAUGCGGAAUGCGCAGUUUAGCGGUGAAAUGCUUAG